GUGUGUACACGUCUGUAACACGACGUUAAUAGUGUGAUUAAGGUGUGUACACGUCUGUAACACGUGUUAAUAGUGUGAUUAAGGUGUGUACACGUCUGUAACACGUGUUAACAGUGUGAUUAAGGUGUGUACACGUCCGUAACACGUGUUAAUAGUGUGAUUAAGGUGUGUACACGUCUGUAACACGUGUUAAUAGUGUGAUUAAGGUGUGUACACGUCUGUAACACGUGUUAACAGUGUGAUUAAGGUGUGUACACGUCUGUAACGCGACGUUAAUAGUGUGAUUAAGGUGUGUACACGUCUGUAACACGUGUUAAUAGUGUGAUUAAGGUGUGUACACGUCUGUAACGCGACGUUAAUAGUGUGAUUAAGGUGUGUACACGUCUGUAACACGUGUUAAUAGUGUGAUUAAGGUGUGUACACGUCUGUAACACGUGUUAAUAGUGUGAUUAAGGUGUGUACACGUCCGUAACGUGACUAAAACAGGAAAAACUCCACACGUUUAAUUCCAUCUGUGUUUACUUCGAGUGUGACUUUAAUCAGAUUAAGAUCAUCAGUAAUCUCUGUUUACAUGCUGCUGUCUUAAUCAGAGUAUCGUCUUAAUCGGAUUAAUAUCGGAUUAUCGCCGUCCGUGUAAACAAACUGAUUGUCUCGACAUCAUUUC
Ictalurus punctatus (channel catfish) is the source of this 664-nucleotide long non-coding RNA. NCBI's taxonomy places the organism in Eukaryota, Metazoa, Chordata, Actinopteri, Siluriformes, Ictaluridae. The record is from Ensembl.